AAGUCGUAACAAGGUUUCCGUAGGUGAACCUGCGGAAGGAUCAUUACUGAAGAUACUAGGGUUUUAGAGACUACGUUAAAAUAAAGCGUGUGCUCGGCCCUUACUCUUUCAUCCACACACCUCUGUGCACUAUGGGACGCAAGUCCCCUUUUUAUAUUUAAAAACCAAGUAUAUGCAUGUAUUACACUCUACGGAGUAAUGUACAACUUUCAACAACGGAUCUCUUGGCUUUCGCAUCGAUGAAGAACGCAGCGAACGUGCGAAACGUAAUGUGAAUUGCAGAAUUCAGUGAAUCAUCGAAUCUUUGAACGCAUCUUGCGCUCCUUGGCAUUCCGAGGAGCAUGCCUGUUUGAGUGUCGUGGAAUACCGUCAAUUUCAAUCUUUUUGUUUGAAAUUGGAUUUGGACGUUUGUUGUGGCAACCCGACUCGUCCUAAAUGCAUUAGCGAAUCUGCCUUGAUCACGCACAAUGUGAUAAAAAAAGAACAUUGUUUAUGGUCAAAUAGGGUCGCUUCUAAUAGUCGAGAGACAAAUAGUCAUGUCAUUUGACCUCAAAUCAGGUAGGACUACCCGCUGAACUUAA
RNAcentral lists this ribosomal RNA (581 nucleotides) under uncultured fungus. Its description in RNAcentral is "eukaryotic LSU rRNA". The stretch from base 205 to 359 matches the Rfam family "5.8S ribosomal RNA". The record is from RNAcentral. Lineage: Eukaryota; Fungi.